Molecule: ribosomal RNA, 298 nt
Filed under: uncultured bacterium
Lineage: Bacteria
Description: partial 16S ribosomal RNA
Rfam family: Bacterial small subunit ribosomal RNA
Source: RNAcentral
GUAGUCGCACGAGCGCACCCUUGCUCUUAGUUGCUACCCGCUAGGGAGACUCUUUGAGGACUGCUCCGGAUAAAGGAGAGGAAGGGGGGGAUGAGGUCAGUCAUCAUGGCCUUUUUUUCCCGGGGUACACACCUGUUACAAUGGGGGCCACAAAGCGUUGCCAACCCCCGAGGGGGAGCUAAUCGCAAAAAAACGCGCUCAGUUCGGAUUGCAGUCUGCAACUCCACUGCAUGAAGCCGGAAUCGCUUGUAAUGGCCCAUCAUAACGGCGCCCUGAAUACAUUCCCGGGCCUUGUACA